Molecule: ribosomal RNA, 1277 nt
Filed under: metagenome
Description: SSU rRNA
Rfam family: Eukaryotic small subunit ribosomal RNA
Source: RNAcentral
AUAACGAUGCGGGACUCCUAUGAGGCUCCGCAAUUGGAAUGAGUACAAUUUAAAUCCUUUAACGAGGAACAAUUGGAGGGCAAGUCUGGUGCCAGCAGCCGCGGUAACUCCAGCUCCAAUAGCGUAUAUUAAAGUUGCUGCAGUUAAAAAGCUCGUAGUUGGAUCUCAGGUACGGAGCUAGUGGUUGGCUUUAGCCGAACCAUUAGUUUCCGCCUCACUAGCUGUAUGUUAUCUUGUGUGCUCUUCACUGUGUGCACAAGAUACUCAGCACGUUUACUUUGAAAAGAUUAGAGUGCUCAAAGCAGGCCUUGUGCUUGAAUACUGUUGCAUGGAAUAAUGGAAUAGGACUUCGGUUCUAUUUUGUUGGUUUUCGGAAUCGAAGUAAUGAUUAAAAGAGACAGACGGGGGCAUCUGUAUGGUGGUGUUAGAGGUGAAAUUCGAUGAUCGCCGCCAGACAAACAACUGCGAAAGCAUUUGCCAAGGAUGUUUUCAUUAAUCAAGAACGAAAGUCAGAGGUUCGAAGACGAUCAGAUACCGUCCUAGUUCUGACCAUAAACGAUGCCAACUGACAAUCGGAGUUUAUUAUUAUUUUUCACUCCGGCAGUCCCUGGGAAACCUUUAAGUCUAUCGGUUCUGGGGGGAGUAUGGUUGCAAAUCCGAAACUUAAAGGAAUUGACGGAAGGGCACCACCAGGUGUGGAGCCUGCGGCUUAAUUUGACCCAACACGGGAAAACUCACCCGGCCCGGACACUGUGAGGAUUGACAGAUUGAUAGCUCUUUCUUGAUUCAGUGGGUGGUGGUGCAUGGCCGUUCUUAGUUGGUGGAGUGAUUUGUCUGGUUAAUUCCGAUAACGAACGAGACUCUAGCCUGCUAAAUAGUCACCACGUAAUAAUUGCGUGGACUGACUUCUUAGAGGGAUUCGCUACGUUUAGUGGCACGAAAUUGAGCAAUAACAGGUCUGUGAUGCCCUUAGAUGUUCGGGGCCGCACGUGCGCUACACUGACGAUAUCAAUGAGUGUCUUCCUAAGCCGAGAGGUUUGGGAAAUCUUAUGAAUUAUCGUCAUGUCAGGGAUUGGGGCUUGUAAUUUUUCCCCAUGAACGAGGAAUACCGAGUAAGCGCAAGUCAUAAGCUUGCGCUGAUUACGUCCCUGCCCUUUGUACACACCGCCCGUCGCUACUACCGAUUGAAUGGUUUAGUGAGGCAUUUGGAUCGAGAUUAAUGGAGUGGUUUUCCAUUUUGUUGAUUUUGAGAAAAUUGUCAAACUUGAUCAUUUAGA